UACAGAGACUGCAAGCGUUGUUCGGAUUCAUUGGGCGUAAAGGGUCCGCAGGCGGUUUGUUAAGUCGGAUGUGAAAUCUCACAGCCUAACUGUGAUAGGUCAUUCGAAACUGACAAGCUAGAGGAAUGGAGAGGAAACUGGAAUUGCUGGUGUAGCAGUGAAAUGCGUAGAUAUCAGCAAGAACACCGGUGGCGAAGGCGGGUUUCUGGACAUUUCCUGACGCUCAGGGACGAAAGCCAGGGGAGCAAACGGG
Molecule: ribosomal RNA, 253 nt
Filed under: uncultured bacterium
Lineage: Bacteria
Description: partial 16S ribosomal RNA
Rfam family: Bacterial small subunit ribosomal RNA
Source: RNAcentral